GGAAAGUGGGGGACUCGCAAGGGCCUCACGCUAUGGGAGCGGCCGAUGUCCGAUUAGCUUGUUGGCGGGGUAAUAGCCCACCAAGGCGACGAUCGGUAGCUGGUCUGAGAGGAUGAUCAGCCACACUGGGACUGAGACACGGCCCAGACUCCUACGGGAGGCAGCAGUGGGGAAUUUUGGACAAUGGGGGAAACCCUGAUCCAGCCAUGCCGCGUGCGGGAAGAAGGCCUUCGGGUUGUAAACCGCUUUUGGUCGGAAAGAAAAGGCGCACCCUAAUACGGGGCGUUCUUGACGGUACCGGCAGAAUAAGCACCGGCUAACUACGUGCCAGCAGCCGCGGUAAUACGUAGGGUGCGAGCGUUAAUCGGAAUUACUGGGCGUAAAGCGUGCGCAGGCGGUUCUCCAAGUCCGUUGUGAAAGCCCCGGGCUCAACCUGGGAAUGGCAGUGGAAACUAGGGGACUUGAAUCUGGGCAGAGGGGGGUGGAAUUCCACGUGUAUCAGUGAAAUGCGUAGAGAUGUGGAGGAACACCGAUGGCGA
RNAcentral lists this ribosomal RNA (539 nucleotides) under uncultured bacterium. Its description in RNAcentral is "bacterial SSU rRNA". It matches the Rfam family "Bacterial small subunit ribosomal RNA", at positions 201 to 718 of the family's 1533-position model. The record is from RNAcentral.